CCUACGGGUGGCAGCAGUGGGGAAUAUUGGACAAUGGGCGAAAGCCUGAUCCAGCCAUGUCGCGUGUGUGAAGUAGGCCUUCGGGUUGUAAAGCACUUUCAGUGGGGAAGAAAGCCUUGGGGCUAAUACCCUCGAGGAAGGACAUCACCCACAGAAGAAGCACCGGCUAACUCCGUGCCAGCAGCCGCGGUAAUACGGAGGGUGCGAGCGUUAAUCGGAAUUACUGGGCGUAAAGCGCGCGUAGGCGGUCUGAUAAGCCGGUUGUGAAAGCCCCGGGCUCAACCUGGGAACGGCAUCCGGAACUGUCAGGCUAGAGUGCAGGAGAGGAAGGUAGAAUUCCCGGUGUAGCGGUGAAAUGCGUAGAGAUCGGGAGGAAUACCAGUGGCGAAGGCGGCCUUCUGGACUGACACUGACGCUGAGGUGCGAAAGCGUGGGUAGCAAACAGGAUUAGAUACCCGAGUAGUC
RNAcentral lists this ribosomal RNA (465 nucleotides) under Vreelandella stevensii. RNAcentral's name for it is "partial 16S ribosomal RNA". It matches the Rfam family "Bacterial small subunit ribosomal RNA", at positions 338 to 795 of the family's 1533-position model. Lineage: Bacteria; Pseudomonadati; Pseudomonadota; Gammaproteobacteria; Oceanospirillales; Halomonadaceae. The record is from RNAcentral.